UUUGUAUGAUCUCAUCUUAUUUUUGUAUGAUCUCAUCUUAUGCACUUGCCUUCUCUUUCAAGAUUUCCACCUCAAACUUAGUUUUAUUGCACAUUCUGUACUUCACACAAUCAUACCGAGUUAUGACACAAAAGGAAAUGGAUGAUUAAAAGUUAACAGGGGUUUUAUGAUGAAUAAUGCUUAACGUUAACAUGGGGUUUACAAUGAACAAAAUGUCUAAG
RNAcentral lists this long non-coding RNA (221 nucleotides) under Lathyrus oleraceus (garden pea). RNAcentral's name for it is "Pisum sativum (pea) long non-coding RNA (PSAT_LNC040291)". The record is from RNAcentral. Lineage: Eukaryota; Viridiplantae; Streptophyta; Magnoliopsida; Fabales; Fabaceae.